RNAcentral lists this ribosomal RNA (528 nucleotides) under uncultured bacterium. Its description in RNAcentral is "partial 16S rRNA". It matches the Rfam family "Bacterial small subunit ribosomal RNA", at positions 355 to 896 of the family's 1533-position model. The record is from RNAcentral.
UGGGGAAUAUUGGACAAUGGACCAAAAGUCUGAUCCAGCAAUUCUGUGUGCACGAUGACGUUUUUCGGAAUGUAAAGUGCUUUCAGUUGGGAAGAAAAAAAUGACGGUACCAACAGAAGAAGUGACGGCUAAAUACCCCCCCCCCCCCCCCGGUGUUAAUAUUUUUUUCACAAGCGUUAUCCGGAUUUAUUGGGCGUAAAGCGCGUCUAGGUGGUUAUGUAAGUCUGAUGUGAAAAUGCAGGGCUCAACUCUGUAUUGCGUUGGAAACUGUAUGACUAGAGUACUGGAGAGGUAAGCGGAACUACAAGUGUAGAGGUGAAAUUCGUAGAUAUUUGUAGGAAUGCCGAUGGGGAAGCCAGCUUACUGGACAGAUACUGACGCUAAAGCGCGAAAGCGUGGGUAGCAAACAGGAUUAGAUACCCUGGUAGUCCACGCCGUAAACGAUGAUUACUAGGUGUUGGGGGUCGAACCUCAGCGCCCAAGCUAACGCGAUAAGUAAUCCGCCUGGGGAGUACGUACGCAAGUAUG